ACUGACCCAGAGUCAGAUGAGGUCCUUUAUCUACUGACCCAGAGUCAGAUGAGGUCCUUUAUCUACUGACCCAGAGUCAGAUGAGGUCCUUUAUCUACUGACCCAGAGUCAGAUGAGGUCCUUUAUCUACUGACCCAGAGUCAGAUGAGGUCCUUUAUCUACUGACCCAGAGUCAGAUGAGGCCCUUUAUCUACUGACCCAGAGUCAGAUGAAGCCCUUUAUCUACUGACCCAGAGUCAGAUGAGGUCCUUUAUCUACUGACCCAGAGUCAGAUGAGGUCCUUUAUCUACUGACCCAGAGUCAGAUGAGGUCCUUUAUCUACUGACCCAGAGUCAGAUGAGGCCCUUUAUCUACUGACCCAGAGUCAGAUGAAGCCCUUUAUCUACUGACCCAGAGUCAGAUGA
Molecule: long non-coding RNA, 404 nt
Organism: Oncorhynchus keta (chum salmon)
Lineage: Eukaryota; Metazoa; Chordata; Actinopteri; Salmoniformes; Salmonidae
Exons: 3
Source: RefSeq, a predicted model, not a curated record